RNAcentral lists this ribosomal RNA (511 nucleotides) under uncultured bacterium. RNAcentral's name for it is "bacterial SSU rRNA". It matches the Rfam family "Bacterial small subunit ribosomal RNA", at positions 791 to 1301 of the family's 1533-position model. The record is from RNAcentral.
UAGUCCACGCCCUAAACGAUGCUUACUCGAUGUGUGAUCGUAAGAUUGCGCGUCCAAGGGAAACCAUUAAGUAAGCCACCUGGGGAGUACGUUCGCAAGAAUGAAACUCAAAGGAAUUGACGGGGGUCCGCACAAGCCGGUGGAGCAUGUGGUUUAAUUCGAUUGAUACGCGAGGAACCUUACCUGGGCUCGAACAUUACUGGACAACUUCUGAAAGGAAGCCUCUUCUUCGGAGCCGGUAGUGAGGUGCUGCAUGGUUGUCGUCAGCUCGUGCCGUGAGGUGUUGGGUUAAGUCCCGCAACGAGCGCAACCCCUAUUCUUAGUUGCUAGCAGGUAAUGCUGAGGACUCUAGGAAGACUGCCGGCGUAAGCCGCGAGGAAGGUGGGGACGACGUCAAAUCAUCAUGGCCUUUAUGCCCAGGGCUACACACGUGCUACAAUGGUCGGUACAGAGGGUCGCGAAGCCGCGAGGUGGAGCUAAUCCCACAAAACCGAUCCCAGUUCCGGAUUGG